Molecule: ribosomal RNA, 756 nt
Filed under: uncultured bacterium
Lineage: Bacteria
Description: bacterial SSU rRNA
Rfam family: Bacterial small subunit ribosomal RNA
Source: RNAcentral
AGAGUUUGAUCCUGGCUCAGAAUCAACGCUGGCGGCGCGCCUAACACAUGCAAGUCGAACGAGAAAGUGGAGCAAUCCAUGAGUACAGUGGCGUACGGGUGAGUAACACGUGGGUAAUCUACCUUUUAGUGGGGAAUAACCAGGGGAAACUCUGGCUAAUACCGCAUAAGCCUGAGAAGGGAAAGCAGCAAUGCGCUGAAAGAGGAGCCCGCGGCCGAUUAGCUAGUUGGUGGGGUAAGAGCCCACCAAGGCAGAGAUCGGUAGCCGGCCUGAGAGGGCACACGGCCACACUGGCACUGAAACACGGGCCAGACUCCUACGGGAGGCAGCAGUGGGGAAUCUUGCACAAUGGGGGAAACCCUGAUGCAGCGACGCCGCGUGAGCGAUGAAGCCCUUCGGGGUGUAAAGCUCUUUUGUCAGGGACGAUAAUGACGGUACCUGGAGAAGCAGCUGCGGCUAACUACGUGCCAGCAGCCGCGGUAAUACGUAGGCAGCAAGCGUUGUUCGGAGUUACUGGGCGUAAAGGGUGUGUAGGCGGUUCUUUAAGUUUGGUGUGAAAUCUCCCGGCUCAACUGGGAGGGUGCGCCGAAUACUGAGGGACUAGAGUACGGGAGAGGAAAGUGGAAUUCCUGGUGUAGCGGUGAAAUGCGUAGAUAUCAGGAGGAACACCGGUGGUGUAGACGGCUUUCUGGACCGUAACUGACGCUGAGACACGAAAGCGUGGGUAGCAAACAGGAUUAGAUACCCUAGUAGUCC